GCUUACAGCCAUACCACCUGCAUGCACCCGAUCUCCUCUGAUCUCGAAAGCUAAGCAGGGUCAGGCCUGGUUAGUACUUGCAUGUGUGACCACCUGGGAAUACCAGGCUGUAAGCU
RNAcentral lists this ribosomal RNA (116 nucleotides) under Larimichthys crocea (large yellow croaker). The record is from RNAcentral. Lineage: Eukaryota; Metazoa; Chordata; Actinopteri; Sciaenidae.